Molecule: ribosomal RNA, 253 nt
Filed under: uncultured bacterium
Lineage: Bacteria
Description: partial 16S ribosomal RNA
Rfam family: Bacterial small subunit ribosomal RNA
Source: RNAcentral
UACAGAGGUCUCAAGCGUUGUUCGGAUUCAUUGGGCGUAAAGGGUGCGUAGGCGGCGCGGUAAGUCGGGUGUGAAAUCUCGGAGCUUAACUCCGAAACUGCAUUCGAUACUGCGGUGCUUGAGGACUGGAGAGGAGACUGGAAUUCAUGGUGUAGCAGUGAAAUGCGUAGAGAUCAUGAGGAAGACCAGUGGCGAAGGCGGGUCUCUGGACAGUUCCUGACACUGAGGCACGAAGGCCAGGGGAGCAAACGGG